RNAcentral lists this unclassified non-coding RNA (277 nucleotides) under Lecophagus longisporus. RNAcentral's name for it is "partial contains 5.8S ribosomal RNA, internal transcribed spacer 2, and large subunit ribosomal RNA". Lineage: Eukaryota; Fungi; Ascomycota; Orbiliomycetes; Orbiliales. The record is from RNAcentral.
CGCACAUUGCGCUCCCUGGUAUUCCUAGGAGCAUGUCUGUCUGAGCGUCAGUACACACCCUCCGCCGCCUCUUUGCUGAGGUGGCGGGUCCUGAGGAGGGGAAGGGCGAGAGCCCACUCCCCCCUCUAAAGUGGAACGACAGCGGUCCGCCUGCCCGUGAAAGACGUAGUAAGAUAUCAUCAGAAUCGUCCGCGAAGGGGAAAGGUAGAGGCUUGCCUUGCGCACAUCAAUCUGAAGGUUUGACCUCAGAUCAGACAAGAAUACCCGCUGAACUUAA